UAAGGCGCGAUAUCGUACUUUUUGUAGAACGGUCCAGCGAGUUAUUGUAUAUGGCGAGGUUAAGUUCUGAAUAAGGAAUGGAGCCGAAGAGAAAUCGAGUCUGAAUAGGGCGAUAUAAGUCAUAUAUAAUAGACCCGAAACCGGGUGACCUAUCCAUGGUCAGGAUGAAGCUGAAGUAAAAUUCAGUGGAGGUCCGAACUGAUUGUCGUUAAAAAGGCACCGGAUGAACUGUGGAUAGCGGAGAAAUUCCAAUCGAACUCGGAGAUAGCUGGUUCUCCUCGAAAUAGCUUUAGGGCUAGCCUUGAGGUAAAAGAAUUAUGGGGGUAGAGCACUGAAUGAGGUAGGGGCCAAACCAGGUUACUGAACUCUAUCAAACUGCGAAUACCAUAAUUAGAAUACUCAGGAGUCAGACUGCGGGAGCUAAGUUCCGUGGUCAAAAGGGAAAGAGCCCAGACCGACAAUUAAGGUCCCAAAGAUAUAGUUAAGUGGAAAACGAUGUGAAUUUGCAUAAACAACCAGGAUGUUGGCUCAGAAGCAGCCACUCAUUCAAAGAGUGCGUAACAGCUCACUGGUCGAGUGAAUUUGCGCGGAAAAUUACCGGGGCUAAACUAUACACCGAAAUUUCGGAUUUACGUAUGAAAAUAUGUAAGUGGUAGAGGAGCAUUCUGUAGUAGGACGAAGUCAAAGCGAAAGCAUUGGUGGACGAGGCAGAAGAGAGAAUGCUGGAAUAAGUAGCGAGAGCAAGGUGAGAAUCCUUGCCGUCGAAAGUCUAAGGUUUCCUGGGGAAGGUUCGUCCGCCCAGGGUAAGUCGGGGCCUAAGGAGAGGCCGAAAGGCGUAUCUGAUGGAUAGCAGGUGGAGAUUCCUGCACUAUAGCUAGUUUUAAAAGAUGCAAGGGACGCAGUAGAGGAAGAUAACCAAGGAAGAGGAAAGACUUGGUCCGCAAGGGAUAGUGAAAAUUAAUAGUAACGAAAUAUCAAGAAUCACACUGACGAGAAAAGCUUGUAGAUAUUAACUAGAAAUACCCGUACCGCAAACCGACACAGGUAGAUGAGGAGAGGAUCCUAAGACGAGCGGGAGAAGCAUUGUUAAGGAACUCGGCAAAAUAACCCCGUAACUUCGGGAGAAGGGGAACCUAAGUAAAAUUAGGUCGCAGAGAAAAGGCCCAAGCAACUGUUUAACAAAAACACAGGUUUCUGCAAAAUCGAAAGAUGAAGUAUAGGAGCUGACGCCUGCCCAGUGCUGGAAGGUUAAGGGAAAGAGUUAGACGUAAGUCGAAGCUUAGAACUAAAGCCCCAGUGAACGGCGGCCGUAACUAUAACGGUCCUAAGGUAGCGAAAUUCCUUGUCAGGUAAGUUCUGACCCGCACGAAAGGCGUAAUGAUUUGGGCACUGUCUCGACAAUGUACCCGGCGAAAUUGUAGUACUAGUGAAGAUGCUAGUUACCUGCGACAAGACAGAAAGACCCCAUGGAGCUUUACUGCAGUUUGAUACUGGGUUUCGAUAAGUUAUGUACAGGAUAGGUGGGAGACAAAGAAAGAAAGGCGUCAGCUUUUCCGGAGUCACCGUUGGGAUACCACCCUUAAUUUGUUGGAAUUCUAACUAGUGGUCAUGAUCUGGCCAGAGGACAAUGUCAGACGGGCAGUUUGACUGGGGCGGUCGCCUCCAAAAGAGUAACGGAGGCGCCCAAAGGUUCCCUCAGUGCGGACAGAAAUCGCACGAAAGAGUGUAAAGGCAGAAGGGAGCUUAACUGGAAGAUAGACAUAUCGAGCAGAUACGAAAGUAGGGCUUAGUGAUCCGGUGGAUAUUGAAUGGAAAAGCCAUCGCUCAACGGACAAAAGUUACCCUGGGGAUAACAGGCUUAUCUCCCCCAAGAGUUCACAUCGACGGGGAGGUUUGGCACCUCGAUGUCGGCUCAUCGCAUCCUGGAGCUGUAGUCGGUUCCAAGGGUUGGGCUGUUCGCCCAUUAAAGCGGUACGCGAGCUGGGUUCAGAACGUCGUGAGACAGUUCGGUCCUUAUCUGUCGCAGGCGGAAGAUAUUUGAGAGGAGCUGUCCUUAGUACGAGAGGACCAGGAUGGACAUACCGAUGGUGUAUCAGUUGUCACACCAGUGGCACGGCUGAGUAGCCAAGUAUGGACGGGAUAAACGCUGAAAGCAUCUAAGUGUGAAGCCCACCUCAAGAUAAGAUAUCUCAUAUCGU
RNAcentral lists this ribosomal RNA (2198 nucleotides) under human gut metagenome. RNAcentral's name for it is "bacterial LSU rRNA". It matches the Rfam family "Bacterial large subunit ribosomal RNA", at positions 587 to 2822 of the family's 2925-position model. The record is from RNAcentral.